UACGGGGGGGGCAAGCGUUGUUCGGAAUUACUGGGCGUAAAGGGCUUGUAGGUGGCCAACUAAGUCAGACGUGAAAUCCCUCGGCUUAACCGGGGAACUGCGUCUGAUACUGGAUGGCUUGAAUUCGGGAGAGGGAUGCAGAAUUCCAGGUGUAGCGGUGAAAUGCGUAGAUAUCUGGAGGAAUACCGGUGGCGAAGGCGGCAUCCUGGACCGACAUUGACGCUGAGGAGCGAAAGCCAGGGGAGCAAACGGG
Molecule: ribosomal RNA, 253 nt
Filed under: uncultured bacterium
Lineage: Bacteria
Description: partial 16S ribosomal RNA
Rfam family: Bacterial small subunit ribosomal RNA
Source: RNAcentral